Molecule: ribosomal RNA, 417 nt
Filed under: Neopanorpa nigritis
Lineage: Eukaryota; Metazoa; Arthropoda; Insecta; Mecoptera; Panorpidae
Also listed under: 1 other name
Description: partial 28S ribosomal RNA
Source: RNAcentral
GAAUGAGAAGAUUCAGUAUCUUUCAUUUGGUCGACCAUUACAUUAUUAUGUGAUAAUUUUUAAUAUCUUGUAUAUUAAUAUUACACUAAUUUGUUUUGAGAUUUGGCUAUGGAGAUAUGCACUUCUUCUCUAGUAGGACGUUGCAACCCAUUGGAUGUUAAUCUAAGGUCCCUUAUGGUAGCCUAUUUUAUAUAUAUUUCGGUAUAUGUGAUUUAGACCUUAGGUGUUUGCCUGAUUAACUUGUUCGAUGGUAUGUCUUUAUAAUAUGGAGUCGCCUAUAUGGCAUUUAACUUUUUUUCAAGUGUGUAUGGAUUAAAUUUUGGCUAUCAGACCUAGUCUGGUACUGAAACCAUUACCACUGUUUGAAAAUUAUGUUGUAAUUAAAUUGACUCUUCUAUAUAGGUUAGCAACGCUUUU